AACCUGAGAUUGAAGAAGGUUAGGUUAGCAUUAGAGUUCCAUUUUACUCACCUUCUAUCUAUUAUCUAAAUAUUAUUAAUGAGACUCGUUCAUAGCUUUACAUCUUCAGCUCUUCUAAUUAACUAAUGGUUGCAUAAAACUAAAUCCACUUCUCACCUGUUAUAAAUUAAUAACUUGUAAUGUCUCUCAUCUGUUACAAAAUCACUUUUAAUGUUUCUUCACACGUUAAAAAUU
This 234-nucleotide long non-coding RNA is filed under the name Lotus japonicus. RNAcentral's name for it is "long non-coding RNA (LJAP_LNC000179)". Lineage: Eukaryota; Viridiplantae; Streptophyta; Magnoliopsida; Fabales; Fabaceae. The record is from RNAcentral.